RNAcentral lists this ribosomal RNA (416 nucleotides) under uncultured bacterium. Its description in RNAcentral is "bacterial SSU rRNA". It matches the Rfam family "Bacterial small subunit ribosomal RNA", at positions 355 to 787 of the family's 1533-position model. The record is from RNAcentral.
UGGGGAAUAUUGCACAAUGGGGGAAACCCUGAUGCAGCGACGCCGCGUGAGCGAAGAAGUAUUUCGGUAUGUAAAGCUCUAUCAGCAGGGAAGAAAAUGACGGUACCUGACUAAGAAGCCCCGGCUAACUACGUGCCAGCAGCCGCGGUAAUACGUAGGGGGCAAGCGUUAUCCGGAUUUACUGGGUGUAAAGGGAGCGUAGACGGCUACUGCAAGUCUGAAGUGAAAACCCAGGGCUCAACCUUGGGACUGCUUUGGAAACUGCAGAGCUUGAGUACCGGAGGGGUAAGCGGAAUUCCUAGUGUAGCGGUGAAAUGCGUAGAUAUUAGGAGGAACACCAGUGGCGAAGGCGGCUUACUGGACGGUAACUGACGUUGAGGCUCGAAAGCGUGGGGAGCAAACAGGAUUAGAUACCC